Molecule: ribosomal RNA, 368 nt
Filed under: Salmonella enterica
Lineage: Bacteria; Pseudomonadati; Pseudomonadota; Gammaproteobacteria; Enterobacterales; Enterobacteriaceae
Also listed under: 1 other name
Description: partial 23S ribosomal RNA
Rfam family: Bacterial large subunit ribosomal RNA
Source: RNAcentral
GGCUGUUCGCCAUUUAAAGUGGUACGCGAGCUGGGUUUAGAACGUCGUGAGACAGUUCGGUCCCUAUCUGCCGUGGGCGCUGGAGAACUGAGGGGGGCUGCUCCUAGUACGAGAGGACCGGAGUGGACGCAUCACUGGUGUUCGGGUUGUCAUGCCAAUGGCACUGCCCGGUAGCUAAAUGCGGAAGAGAUAAGUGCUGAAAGCAUCUAAGCACGAAACUUGCCCCGAGAUGAGUUCUCCCUGAGACUUUAGGUCUCCUGAAGGAACGUUGAAGACGACGACGUUGAUAGGCCGGGUGUGUAAGCGCAGCGAUGCGUUGAGCUAACCGGUACUAAUGAACCGUGAGGCUUAACCUUACAACGCCGAAG